RNAcentral lists this ribosomal RNA (253 nucleotides) under uncultured bacterium. Its description in RNAcentral is "partial 16S ribosomal RNA". It matches the Rfam family "Bacterial small subunit ribosomal RNA", at positions 524 to 776 of the family's 1533-position model. The record is from RNAcentral.
UACGAAGGGUGCAAGCGUUACUCGGAAUUACUGGGCGUAAAGCGUGCGUAGGUGGUUGUUUAAGUCUGCUGUGAAAGCCCUGGGCUCAACCUGGGAAUUGCAGUGGAUACUGGGCGACUAGAGUGUGGUAGAGGAUAGUGGAAUUUCCGGUGUAGCAGUGAAAUGCGUAGAGAUCGGAAGGAACAUCUGUGGCGAAGGCGACUAUCUGGGCCAACACUGACACUGAGGCACGAAAUCGUGGGGAGCAAACAGG